Molecule: transfer RNA, 85 nt
Filed under: Arthrobacter sp. Soil761
Lineage: Bacteria; Bacillati; Actinomycetota; Actinomycetes; Micrococcales; Micrococcaceae
Also listed under: 3 other names
Description: tRNA-Leu
Rfam family: tRNA
About the family: Transfer RNA (tRNA) molecules are approximately 80 nucleotides in length. Their secondary structure includes four short double-helical elements and three loops (D, anti-codon, and T loops).
Source: RNAcentral
GCGCGAGUGGUGAAAUUGGCAGACACGCAGGAUUUAGGUUCCUGUGCCUUCGGGCGUGGGGGUUCAAGUCCCCCCUUGCGCACCU